GAUGAACGCUGGCGGCGUGCCUAAUACAUGCAAGUCGAGCGAACGGACGAGAAGCUUGCUUCUCUGAUGUUAGCGGCGGACGGGUGAGUAACACGUGGAUAACCUACCUAUAAGACUGGGAUAACUUCGGAAAACCGGAUCUAAUACCGGAUAAUAUUUUGAACCGCAUGGUUCAAAAGUGAAAGACGGUCUUGCUGUCACUUCUAGAUGGAUCCGCGCUGCAUUAGCUAGUUGGUAAGGUAACGGCUUACCAAGGCAACGAUGCAUAGCCGACCUGAGAGGGUGAUAGGCCACACUGGAACUGAGACACGGUCCAGACUCCUACGGGAGGCAGCAGUAGGGAAUCUUCCGCAAUGGGCGAAAGCCUGACGGAGCAACGCCGCGUGAGUGAUGAAGGUCUUCGGAUCGUAAAACUCUGUUAUUAGGGAAGAACAUAUGUGUAAGUAAAUGUGCACAUCUUGACGGUACCUAAUCAGAAAGCCACGGCUAACUACGUG
Molecule: ribosomal RNA, 497 nt
Filed under: uncultured bacterium
Lineage: Bacteria
Description: partial 16S ribosomal RNA
Rfam family: Bacterial small subunit ribosomal RNA
Source: RNAcentral